GACGAACGCUGGCGGCGUGCUUAACACAUGCAAGUCGAACGAUGAACCGGUUUCGGCCGGGGAUUAGUGGCGAACGGGUGAGUAACACGUGGGCAAUCUGCCCUGCACUCUGGGAUAAGCCCGGGAAACUGGGUCUAAUACCGGAUACGACACUCCGAGGCAUCUUGGGGUGUGGAAAGUUCCGGCGGUGCAGGAUGAGCCCGCGCUGCAUUAGCUAGUUGGUGAGGUAAUGGCCUACCAAGGCAACGAUGCGUAGCCGACCUGAGAGGGUGAUCGGCCACACUGGACCUGCGACACGGUCCAGACUCCUACGGGAGGCAGCAGUCGCGAAUCUUCCGCAAUGGGCGAAAGCCUGACGGAGCAACGCCGCGUGAGUGAUGAAGGUCUUCGGAUCGUAAAACUCUGUUAUUAGGGAAGAACAUAUGUGUAAGUAACUGUGCACAUCUUGACGGUACCUACUCAGAAAGCCACGGCUAACUACGUG
Molecule: ribosomal RNA, 484 nt
Filed under: uncultured bacterium
Lineage: Bacteria
Description: partial 16S ribosomal RNA
Rfam family: Bacterial small subunit ribosomal RNA
Source: RNAcentral